AGUCCGGACUUGUCGAACUGCAAAUUCGAUUUUGGGUUUGUUCCCCCGGACUU
Molecule: transfer RNA, 53 nt
Filed under: Varanus rosenbergi
Lineage: Eukaryota; Metazoa; Chordata; Lepidosauria; Squamata; Varanidae
Description: tRNA-Cys
Source: RNAcentral